Long non-coding RNA from Gadus morhua (Atlantic cod), 952 nucleotides. RefSeq lists it as uncharacterized. Lineage: Eukaryota; Metazoa; Chordata; Actinopteri; Gadiformes; Gadidae. The transcript has 5 exons. The record is from RefSeq and is a predicted model, not a curated record.
AGCCACCGUCAUUUUUUUCUAGGGGCGAAAUUUAAUUGCAUACAAAAUCGGUAGUUGGAAAGUUCUCUGGGAUGAAGACUUAUGAGACUUUUUCUCCGGCGUGUGUUACUUCUGUUGGUGUGUGCAUGGCCCAGGCUACUAUACGGCUGUAAAAUGCUUCAAUUUCAGUUCCUCAGCAACUGUAACAAAGUAAAUAACAGACUGAAGAGAAAAUAAAGUCCCACACACACAAACACCUUUGCUACUUAAGGAGUCGCACUCGAACACAUUCACAGAGGAACACUGAACCGCAGGUGGGACUCACUCGCUCGACAACACAGCAACACGCACCCAAGGAAGAUCCUUUCACCCCAUCGAUGCCCAUCGCCAAGGCAACAUUCCCAGCACCAGCCUAAGUUACCCCCGCUGUCCACCAAACUGCUACCAUGACUAUGUACGGACUCCCGAUCCUGGCGGCUGUUUGCUGCAGUCUCCUUCUCCUCACGUUGUUCCCGGUCGGCUCAGAAUCAGCAAGCUGCUGCCUAAGAUACCGCCAACUCCAACGGUUGAAAUGUAAAGAUACCCACCACUAUUCCCUGCAGAACAUCAACGGGUCUUGCGACAUGCGAGCUGUGAUCUUCCACGUUGGACAGAAAUUUGUCUGUGCUGAUCCGAAUGGAAAGAGGACCAAACAUCUCAUGGCUUGUUUGGAUAACAAGGGGAGAACCCGCAACAGAUGGCAUUCCUGACUUCACCAAGAAUCAUAAUUGUUGCAUGAUGAUUGUAUCUUUUUGAAUAGCUUUUGUUAUUGUUCUCAUAGGGCUCACUUGUUUUUUGAAGUGGAACUUUACACCAGUCACGACAUAUUGAGCAACAAAGAUAUGAAUGUGAAAUUAAGAAAGUCCGAUACAAUGGAAAGACUCAACAAAAAUGUCUCAAUGGGGAAACUUGUCUUUUCUGUGGAAUGAUCAAA